GAAGAAAGGAGAAGGAGAGGGGGGCGCAAGGUGAGGGAGAUGGUCGCCGGCGGUGGCGCCUCCGGUGACCGGCCGGCGGCAGGACCGAUGGUGUCUGGAGUUUUGGACACCUGAGCGAGCUACCCUGCUGCUGCUAAUUCUUCUCUCCCCACGCCUCUGCUGCUGCUCCUUCUACUCCUCAGAUGCCCAUGCUUGCUCUCAAACAAUCAUUGUUGAAGGUGAAGUUCUUUUACAGAAAAAUGUAAAAUAUGUUACGCAGAGGAACUAUGUUAGCUGAAGUGGCUGCUAAGUUGUUUCAACAAAUGAAGAUGAGGUUUGAUGCUUAAUUGUGCUUGCAGGACUGAAGGGCAUGAUUUCUGGACCACAGAUGAUGCAUUUUAUUGGCAGGCACAAUCAAGGGCCCAUCAUCUUUCUGCUAUAGGUUCAACACAAACAACAGCUAUCUUGUUGAGAUUCAAUUGCUAUUCGGUGGAGAGCAGCCACAAAAAGUUCCUCAAUUGAUGCACAGUGGCCACCGAAAACAGAUCUCGCUUUCAAUCUCUAAUUGAUUCUCAGCUACAGAGUGGCAUGUAUCUAUAGACUUGCUAAUGUGAUGGCUAAUGCAUGUGUAUUAAUUCAUGAAUUAGCAAAAUAUUUCCCGUGAGAUGUGCUAAUAUACAAAUUUGAUGUUCACAGUGCCCUCCACUUUUUUUUUGUUAUGCCUAUAAGAGAUGACUUAUUUUCAAUUUUUAAAUAGAAAAGCACAGUAUGGUUGCUCUUAUAUACAGCUCAUAAAAAGGAAUUACAAAUAAGAAGAGUGAUGUGUUCUCCUCAAAACAAAAUUGCUGAAAUUCACAUGCAUGGUGGCGCCAUACAGCGAGCGCAUGGUGGCAGAGUUCACAAGCUAGAUCUCUGACUGGCGUAAUGGCUUGUCCUGAUGCAGAGAAGGACGGGGUUCAAGUUGUUGGGCCGGUGGCAGGGGCAGCAUGAUGUUUUCGUCAGGUAACAACCUAGCCAUCGACUCAAGAUUUAACUGAACCAAUUCCUUUAAUUCAAGCUCCAAAUCGUUGUUAUUUGAUUCACUAAUUGGUUGCUGGCAACAACUAAUUGGACAUAUAAUUGUUGAUUUAUGUACAAACAAUAUCUUCAGUAGUUUUCAGAUCUUCAAUAAGGAUCAUCAAGCCCUCUGUUUUUUAUAUGAAGAAUAGAUAUUGUAAUUGUGCCUCCAUUACGUCUAAAAGUCAGAUAUCGGAAAAAUGUCAUUGGCAUAUCUCUGUCACGAUGGAGGAUUGGUUAGACAGAAAAAGGACCUCUGGUUAUGUAUGACAUGAUGCGAGGCACAUAUCUCUGAAUGAAGCGCAACAAGAAUUGACAUCCUCUAAUGCUAACUGUUGAGCAUUCUUCUCUGAAGUAUCAGGUCAGUAUCCCAUGUGCCCCCUAUUCAUCUGUCAUCGCUGCAUAAAAAUUUAAUGCAGUUUUUAAGCCUAUGUUUAAGGGUAGCUAAAUCUCUAUGGACCAACCAUAUUAUCUUUUUGAGAUAAGAAAUCAACCUUCAUCAUGUACUUAUGUUGUAACUUCUCCCAUCUUUUGUGCUAUUAUCUAAAAGAGGUGUGGAUUGGAAUCAGUUUUUUUGCUGCACCCCCAUUCCGACGAGGUCACGCACACAUACCACUGGGAAUCCCACGAACCCUAUGUUCGAGCGCGAGCGACGGCAAUAGCAUCUGCAAGUACUUGACCAACACGCUACCCGGGUGUGGUAUCCACUAUUGAGGCCAAGCAACCUAGCUCGGUCAUCCUUAAGUGUGUUUGUGUCCACCACCUGAUGAAGAACGGGAGAAGAUUGCUGACUUUGUGCCUAGUGAUGGUUGCCUGAACUUCGUAGAGCAAAUUGACGAGGUGUUGAUUGCUGAAUUUGGUCUUAAGAGGCACGUCGUGGGAGAUAUCCCUUGUGGCAGGUUCAAAGUUGUGAUGGUAUCUGGUGUCUCCCAGCGAGAUUUGUUCCUUCUCUUAACAGUUACUAUUAAGGUAUAACAGUGAUGUGCUACUCUGCUGGUCCUUUAGAUGUCAAAAAGAUUAUGUGUUGUGCUAGCUAGCGACUUUUAUCUCCCCGUGGAUGCAGAUUUCAGAAUAUGUUUAGUUACGACGUACCACAAAGCUGAUCUUUUUAACAUUUGAUUGCCGUGCUUAAUACCACAGUUAGGUAGUUUGACUCUUAGACACUGGUCUUUUUAAUAUCAGACUUAAACAACUACAGUUCUAAAUAGCAGUAGUUCUUCUGAAUUUCUACCUAUUUAUUUCACUAUUGUGGUUUCAAAAUCCAAUAGCCUUGCUGUUAGUUAAUGCUCUAUUUAUAUUUUUUGCCAACAGAACAAAUUUAUGUUUCCAGCAAAAAAGUUGGCCGGCCCCAGCAAAAAAAAAGAACAGUUCCAGCCAAAAAAGAUCGCCGCCGUGGUCACAGGUACUAAAUGGUUCCACUGUACAUCUCUAUAGUUAUUUGGCUGAAGGUGCGCAUUAGUGGUUAGCUGUGAUAAUACAAAUAGUAAACAUGUUAUACCAGGUAGCAGAACUUCACGAAAAUUUGCUGAAGGAGUUGCAUCAUCCUUGAUCAAAUAUUAUUUUUAUUAUUCCUUCUUGGUUUUAGACAAUAACAUUAGAGAAUCUAAAUCCUUUUACCGCGCAUCAGUACAUGUAAUAGAGCAACUCUUGGUGCAACUAGCUGCAGCAAAGACCAACUUGACUUGAUGGUAUUUUUGAUCUGUUCACCUACCCUCCCUCGCUCAAUUUUCUUGGGAAAAAACACCCGCCCAAUGAAGCCAUCUCCGUGUCGCAUACCUAUUGCCACAACCAACUAAGCUAGCCCAGUGUUUUUUGUGGAAAAGAUGGUUGUUCCUUCUAUUAAAUAGUCCCACCUCGCCCCUUUACACCCAAUCCUCUUAAUUUCCUUAUGCCUUUGAAUUUCCUAGGUGUCAACAAGCAGUCUUCGGAAUCAUCAAUAAGCCAACAGCGAGAAAUAAGUUCAAGAAUUGAGUUCCCUUAACAGGGAAAUAAGGAAGGGAAGAAACAAAUAGGGAACAAUCAGAUGAAGCAUCAAGGAAAAUGGAUUGAACAAUCAGAUGAAGCAUCAAGGAAAAUGGAUUGAACAAUCAGAUGAAGCAUCCAGCUCGAGGAGAAGCAUGGUCUGCAAGGAGACCAAUCAUCUUGAGGUGGUUCUUUCAGCUACUGCAUGUUCCAUUAGGGAGAAGGGUACUUAGUCGAUCUUAGGAGCCAGACUCUGCUUUCCUUGCAGGGAGAAUUUCAAUAAAUGGUACUAUUACUCUCCCAACAAUUCUUUUAUCACUACAAAAUGUGUAGGAACCUUAUUUUUCUUAAGUGGCAUAAUGUGAUUUCUUAAGUGUUGUGUUGUAACACUUUAGAGUAAAAGAAUAAUUAUGUAUGAAGAAUAAUAUUACCGAGUCAGGCAGAAUUUGACCUUAGUUCUGACCAAAUUAAUCUUUAUUUGUUUGCCAGGUUGUGUGUCAAACAUCACUUCAUGUUGUAGUCCAUUUUUUCCUUUCAAAAGCCACAUUAUGAAAUUUGGCUUUAUAAGAAGUUUCACUUUAUUAUUAGUGGAGAACGGGAGAUAAGGAAAGGGAAGGGAAAAACAGUAAUUCUAGCAACUAGCCAUUGUUCCGUGGCAAAACACAGGUGUUUGUUCUAUUAUGUCCAUCGGAAAUCUUUACGGAGGAGUUGGGACUGAGUGAGUGACAUAGAUUUGCUUGAGGUCACAAAUUCUUUUCUGCUGUUACUUGCAUCUUACUUGAAUUUUUUUCUUCAAGUUCUUCCUGUUUUCCCAUAUCCUCUGCUCUAUAGAAGCUGCUACAUCAAAUUAAGUAAGUGCAUCCUUCUUUUUUGUCCAAGUUUGUUCUAUUCUAUUACUCAGAAGUCUGUACAAGACUGAGAGAGUGAAGCAUAUUUGCUUGAGAUUUGAAUACUUUUUUGAUGUCGGGUUUGUACACUAUACAGUUUGAUUAAUGAAAACUGAUAAAAGUAGUGGCAAACACUUGAUUGAGUAAGCUACUGGAUUUUACCAGUAAUACACAGUAGUUUCUUGCAAUAUUAUCUGCAUGACAAGAAACACCCAUAUUUGAUUUUGCUCUGUGAUUGGUUCAAAUAUCACUUUUUGGCUAAAGCUGAUUGGAUACGAGUAGUAGUGCCAACAGUAAUAACUUUAAAUAUGAUUUUACCAUGGCUCUAAAUUUUAUUGCUGAUGAUUUGUUUCAGGAUAUUUGGAGAGGCUAUUUGCACCGUAGUUCAAGACAGCUGAUAGAGUAUAAGCUAGGCAACUCACUUAUAUUGUUACUUGUUUAAAUGGUUAUCUAUUCUGCCGGCAUAUUCACAUGCCAUAUUAAUUUCAGAAGAACAAUUUCUAAUUUGUGUUGUGCUUGCAUGCAUUGUUCUGUCUAAAAAGAAAAUUCCAAACAAAAACAAAUAUAAAGUCACAGUUUGUAUUUACGCACUGGAUAGUUUCAAUCGCGCUAAAUUAAACGAAGGCUUUCAGAAUAAAUUGUGGCCUCUAAGCUUGUGUGUACUCAAUUACUAAAUGUGUAAUAUCAGCACAUAUUAGCACGACUAUUUCUUAAGUGCAGCCAGCCACCAAUUU
RNAcentral lists this long non-coding RNA (4618 nucleotides) under Triticum aestivum (bread wheat). RNAcentral's name for it is "long non-coding RNA (TAES_LNC002959)". Lineage: Eukaryota; Viridiplantae; Streptophyta; Magnoliopsida; Poales; Poaceae. The record is from RNAcentral.